This 253-nucleotide ribosomal RNA is filed under the name uncultured bacterium. RNAcentral's name for it is "partial 16S ribosomal RNA". It matches the Rfam family "Bacterial small subunit ribosomal RNA", at positions 524 to 776 of the family's 1533-position model. The record is from RNAcentral.
UACAGAGGUCCCGAGCGUUGUUCGGAUUCACUGGGCGUAAAGGGUGCGUAGGCGGCUUUGCAAGUCUGAUGUGAAAUCUCCAGGCCCAACCUGGAAAUGGCAUUAGAAACUGCGGAGCUGGAGGCUUGGAGGGGGAACUGGAAUGCUCGGUGUAGCAGUGAAAUGCGUAGAGAUCGAGCGGAACACCAGUGGCGAAGGCGAGUUCCUGGACAAGACCUGACGCUGAGGCACGAAAGCCAGGGGAGCAAACAGG